UGGGGAAUAUUGCACAAUGGGCGCAAGCCUGAUGCAGCCAUGCCGCGUGUAUGAAGAAGGCCUUCGGGUUGUAAAGUACUUACAGCGGGGAGGAAGGUGUUGAGGUUAAUAACCUCAGCAAUUGACGUUACCCGCAGAAGAAGCACCGGCUAACUCCGUGCCAGCAGCCGCGGUAAUACGGAGGGUGCAAGCGUUAAUCGGAAUUACUGGGCGUAAAGCGCACGCAGGCGGUCUGUCAAGUCGGAUGUGAAAUCCCCGGGCUCAACCUGGGAACUGCAUUCGAAACUGGCAGGCUAGAGUCUUGUAGAGGGGGGUAGAAUUCCAGGUGUAGCGGUGAAAUGCGUAGAGAUCUGGAGGAAUACCGGUGGCGAAGGCGGCCCCCUGGACAAAGACUGACGCUCAGGUGCGAAAGCGUGGGGAGCAAACA
RNAcentral lists this ribosomal RNA (427 nucleotides) under uncultured bacterium. Its description in RNAcentral is "partial 16S ribosomal RNA". It matches the Rfam family "Bacterial small subunit ribosomal RNA", at positions 355 to 774 of the family's 1533-position model. The record is from RNAcentral.